Photinus pyralis (common eastern firefly) is the source of this 139-nucleotide small nucleolar RNA. The record is from RefSeq and is a predicted model, not a curated record. NCBI's taxonomy places the organism in Eukaryota, Metazoa, Arthropoda, Insecta, Coleoptera, Lampyridae.
UCCGGGCUAUAUCGAAGCUGUGAUUUAUGUUUCUAUGAUAAAUUGUAGUCAAAAGUUAGCCCAUAGCAAUGUAUCUGUUUUUAAGGUCACUGAUGAGCCACAAAUGCUUAAUUCAGUAUUACCCAAUCAGAGAACAAUA